GUUCAAAAGUGAAAGACGGUCUUGCUGUCACUUAUAGAUGGAUCCGCGCUGCAUUAGCUAGUUGGUAAGGUAACGGCUUACCAAGGCAACGAUGCAUAGCCGACCUGAGAGGGUGAUCGGCCACACUGGAACUGAGACACGGUCCAGACUCCUACGGGAGGCAGCAGUAGGGAAUCUUCCGCAAUGGGCGAAAGCCUGACGGAGCAACGCCGCGUGAGUGAUGAAGGUCUUCGGAUCGUAAAACUCUGUUAUUAGG
Molecule: ribosomal RNA, 256 nt
Filed under: Staphylococcus aureus
Lineage: Bacteria; Bacillati; Bacillota; Bacilli; Caryophanales; Staphylococcaceae
Description: partial 16S ribosomal RNA
Rfam family: Bacterial small subunit ribosomal RNA
Source: RNAcentral